UCACGAUCUAUCUGCCCUGGAAUUUUCAGAUGAAUCAGAUAAUCGGUUGUUAGGUUUCUGCCCCUGAAUUGGUAAUUUUGAGGAAAUUUUGCUGUUUUUUGUUAUCUUGAAUAUUAUUAUAGAUAGAGAUAAACUGUAAACAGCAAUAAUGUACAGCAAAAGUAGAACUGAAAAUAAGUCACUAUGACCAAAAUAGUCAAUUGACCCC
RNAcentral lists this long non-coding RNA (208 nucleotides) under Mytilus galloprovincialis (Mediterranean mussel). The record is from RNAcentral. Lineage: Eukaryota; Metazoa; Mollusca; Bivalvia; Mytilida; Mytilidae.